Molecule: non-coding RNA, 23 nt
Filed under: Rattus norvegicus (Norway rat)
Lineage: Eukaryota; Metazoa; Chordata; Mammalia; Rodentia; Muridae
Source: RNAcentral
UGCAGAAGGGCCCAUUUCAGGAA